CGGCGUGCUUAACACAUGCAAGUCGAACGGUGACCUCGGAGCUUGCUCCGGGCGAUCAGUGGCGAACGGGUGAGUAACACGUGAGUAACCUGCCCCAGACUUUUGGGAUAACCCCGGGAAMCCGGAGCUAAUACCGGAUAUGACACGAAGAGGCAUCUCUAUCGUGUGGAAAGUUUUUCGGUCUGGGAUGGACUCGCGGCCUAUCAGCUAGUUGGUGAGGUAACGGCUCACCAAGGCGACGACGGGUAGCCGGCCUGAGAGGGCGACCGGCCACACUGGGACUGAGACACGGCCCAGACUCCUACGGGAGGCAGCAGUGGGGAAUAUUGCACAAUGGGCGAAAGCCUGAUGCAGCGACGCCGCGUGGGGGAUGACGGCCUUCGGGUUGUAAACCCCUUUCAGCAGGGAAGAA
This 412-nucleotide ribosomal RNA is filed under the name bacterium Ellin6057. RNAcentral's name for it is "bacterial SSU rRNA". It matches the Rfam family "Bacterial small subunit ribosomal RNA", at positions 40 to 449 of the family's 1533-position model. The record is from RNAcentral. Lineage: Bacteria; Bacillati; Actinomycetota; Actinomycetes; Kineosporiales; Kineosporiaceae.